UUUUUUUUUUUUCUGUCGCUUAUAGUUCUUUUAUGGUUUACGCAGCAUCUUCCAUCACUCGCUCCAUGAAAAGUGCUCUAAGCGUUCCCCUUUCUGAUUCGCAUUCUCUAUUAAUGCGAUUAUCCGAAGGGCUAUGAUUUCUUAACAAACGUCCGAAGCGCGAUUUUCUUCCGAUAUUCAGGGUUUUCCAAGCGUCAUUCUCUUGAAAAAUCUAAUCACCCAUUGUAUUAAUCUAUGUCCACGGAAUUCUUAACGCUCUCAUACGACACCGUACUUCAAAAGCUUCUAUCAUGGCUU
Molecule: non-coding RNA, 297 nt
Organism: Cinara cedri
Lineage: Eukaryota; Metazoa; Arthropoda; Insecta; Hemiptera; Aphididae
Source: the annotation of a GenBank genome assembly